AGUGAACGCUGGCGGUAGGCCUAACACAUGCAAGUCGAACGGCAGCACAGGAGAGCUUGCUCUCUGGGUGGCGAGUGGCGGACGGGUGAGGAAUACAUCGGAAUCUACUUUUUCGUGGGGGAUAACGUAGGGAAACUUACGCUAAUACCGCAUACGACCUACGGGUGAAAGCAGGGGAUCUUCGGACCUUGCGCGAUUGAAUGAGCCGAUGUCGGAUUAGCUAGUUGGCGGGGUAAAGGCCCACCAAGGCGACGAUCCGUAGCUGGUCUGAGAGGAUGAUCAGCCACACUGGAACUGGGACACGGUCCAGACUCCUACGGGAGGCAGCAGUGGGGAAUAUUGGGCAAUGGGCGCAAGCCUGAUCCAGCCAUACCGCGUGGGUGAAGAAGGCCUUCGGGUUGUAAAGCCCUCUUGUUGGGAAAGAAAUCCAGCUGGUUAAUACCCGGUUGGGAUGACGGUACCCAAAGAAUAAGCACCGGCUAACUUCGUGCCAGCCGCCGCCGUAA
This 506-nucleotide ribosomal RNA is filed under the name uncultured bacterium. RNAcentral describes it as "partial 16S ribosomal RNA". It matches the Rfam family "Bacterial small subunit ribosomal RNA", at positions 29 to 523 of the family's 1533-position model. The record is from RNAcentral.